This 992-nucleotide long non-coding RNA is filed under the name Homo sapiens (human). RNAcentral describes it as "non-protein coding lnc-UVSSA-1:5". Lineage: Eukaryota; Metazoa; Chordata; Mammalia; Primates; Hominidae. The record is from RNAcentral.
CCCCUGCCCAAGGGCUCUUGAUCCUGGGCAGACUUAGAAGCAGUGCAGGGCCUCAGUGUGGGCCCUGAGCCUCGGGCUCUAAAGGGUGAAUGGCACGUUCACACCAUCGUCUUUCCUGGAAACGACAGCGCCUGCCAUUCAGGACAUUACCCAGCCCCCGGCCUGAUAGCCCAUGACUCUCCGGUUCAUAACACAAAAUCACACUUUUCAUCAAGAAGCUUGUAUUCUCCAGAUAAUUCAAGAAUCCACACAGCAAAUCCAGCACAGACUGUUUGCUUCCCAACACCCAGACACAUGUGCCUGCAAAUUCCUGAUGUUACGAAGACCUGCCCCGGAGAGGGGAGGCAUCGCCCCAGGCAACCCCAGUAUGCUGACAACCCACACCCCAGACAACUCCAGGAGACUGACAACCCACACCCCAGCUGACCCCGCAUCCUGGCUGUGAUGGGGCUGCCAUCCACACCGCCUGCUCCAAGGGCUCUGCUGCUCCGGGUUGGACCUGCACGGUUCUGGGUCACUGCAGGACUUGGGACAAGUGACUCAGUUCCCCAUUGAGCAGGACAGCAUCCCAGCCGCCCUGGGUUACUGUGAUAUCAGGAGUCAGUGGCCAACGUUUCCUGAGCCCUCUUUCUGAGGCCAGACGCCAGCAUGGAGGCUGCAGCGAGUCCCUUCCCUCAUCUGCACGAGGCUUGGGGACCCCAUGGCCACCUGGCCCAGGCCAGCAAAGACAAUCGCCGGAUGUCUGAGUACCCCCUCUCCUUCCAAAACAAACAGAAAACCCGUCCACAGCAUCUGUCGACCAAAAGAAGAACCGCCAGAGUCCAGGGAAGCAGCUUGCCGGGAACCUGCCAGGUUUGCAUCGAAUUCCCCGAGUUCCGGAAACCCCGUCCGUCCCAGGCAAACAGGCACCGUGGGUCACCCUUCCGGGACCCACAUUCGCGCCAGGCCUAGGUGGAGGCCUUGGCCCUGGGAAGGAAGGCUGACCAGAAGCC